CCUACGGGUGGCUGCAGUGGGGAAUAUUGGACAAUGGGGGGAACCCUGAUCCAGCCAUGCCGCGUGUGUGAAGAAGGCCCUCGGGUUGUAAAGCACUUUCAGUGAGGAAGAACGCCUGGUGGUUAAUACCCAUCAGGAAAGACAUCACUCACAGAAGAAGCACCGGCUAACUCCGUGCCAGCAGCCGCGGUAAUACGGAGGGGUGCGAGCGUUAAUCGGAAUUACUGGGCGUAAAGCGCGCGUAGGUGGCUUGAUAAGCCGGUUGUGAAAGCCCCGGGCUCAACCUGGGAACGGCAUCCGGAACUGUCAAGCUAGAGUGCAGGAGAGGAAGGUAGAAUUCCCGGUGUAGCGGUGAAAUGCGUAGAGAUCGGGAGGAAUACCAGUGGCGAAGGCGGCCUUCUGGACUGACACUGACACUGAGGUGCGAAAGCGUGGGUAGCAAACAGGAUUAGAUACCCCUGUAGUC
RNAcentral lists this ribosomal RNA (466 nucleotides) under Vreelandella stevensii. RNAcentral's name for it is "partial 16S ribosomal RNA". It matches the Rfam family "Bacterial small subunit ribosomal RNA", at positions 338 to 795 of the family's 1533-position model. The record is from RNAcentral. Lineage: Bacteria; Pseudomonadati; Pseudomonadota; Gammaproteobacteria; Oceanospirillales; Halomonadaceae.